Long non-coding RNA from Ictalurus punctatus (channel catfish), 446 nucleotides. RefSeq lists it as uncharacterized. The transcript has 2 exons. Lineage: Eukaryota; Metazoa; Chordata; Actinopteri; Siluriformes; Ictaluridae. The record is from RefSeq and is a predicted model, not a curated record.
CAUAAUAAAGUCGCUCCUUCCCCAACUGCCGCACCGGCACGAAGCGGACAGCCUCGUGCCAAACACACCAUCAGCCGGAAGGACCGUCACGGUGGGGCGGGACCGUUGACGCUACACCGGCCGGCGAUUGGGGAGUCCGUCGGGGAAAUUCCACCACUCAGGCGACGGCGGAGGAGGAUAAAAGGACGCGCUUCCGGCGCGCGAGGAGAACGGCGAAGAGACAGACUCCGUGCGAGCGCGGACGAGACCGCCGGGUGGUGAGAUCGCGUUCAACGGUGGAUGACUGCACGGGAGACCCACGCGCACGUCUCGGGAACCCCGACAUGUCCUCGAGAAAGUCACAACGCCAGCCACACCCCCACGAAACCCCUCGCACUCACACGCCCUCACCUCCUCACGACAGACAAUUCACACACGGACAAAUAAAGCACCCAUUUUGACUGCAA